Molecule: ribosomal RNA, 468 nt
Filed under: uncultured bacterium
Lineage: Bacteria
Description: partial 16S ribosomal RNA
Rfam family: Bacterial small subunit ribosomal RNA
Source: RNAcentral
GACGAACGCUGGCGGCGUGCUUAACACAUGCAAGUCGAACGGAAAGGCCCUGCUUUUGUUGGGUGCUCGAGUGCCGAACGGGUGAGUAACACGUGAGUAACCUGCCCUUGUCUUUCGGAUAACUUCUGGAAACUGGGGCUCAUACCGCAUAGGAUCUCCUGCUCCAUGUUGUGCGUUGGAAAGUUUCGGCGGUUGGGGAUGGACUCGCGGCUUAUGAGCUUGUUGGUGGGGUAGUGGCUUACCCAGGCUUUGACGGGUAGCCGGCCUGAGAGGGUGACCAGCCACAUUGGGACUGAGAUACGGACCAGACGCCUACGGGAGGCAGCAGUGGGGAAUAUUGCACAAUGGGCGGAAGCCUGAGGCAGCAACGCCGCGUGCGGGAUGACGGCCUUCGGGUUGUAAACCGCUUUCGCCUGUGACGAAGCGUGAGUGACGGUAAUGGGUAAAGAAGCACCGGCUAACUACGUG